GGAGCAGUAGGGAAUCUUCCACAAUGGGCGAAAGCCUGAUGGAGCAACGCCGCGUGAGUGAAGAAGGUUUUCGGAUCGUAAAACUCUGUUGUAAGGGAAGAACAAGUACAGUAGUAACUGGCUGUACCUUGACGGUACCUUAUUAGAAAGCCACGGCUAACUACGUGCCAGCAGCCGCGGUAAUACGUAGGUGGCAAGCGUUGUCCGGAAUUAUUGGGCGUAAAGCGCGCGCAGGCGGUCCUUUAAGUCUGAUGUGAAAGCCCACGGCUCAACCGUGGAGGGUCAUUGGAAACUGGGGGACUUGAGUGCAGAAGAGGAAAGUGGAAUUCCAAGUGUAGCGGUGAAAUGCGUAGAGAUUUGGAGGAACACCAGUGGCGAAGGCGACUUUCUGGUCUGUAACUGACGCUGAGGCGCGAAAGCGUGGGGAGCAAACAGGAUUAGAUACCCUGGUAGUCCACGCCGUAAACGAUGAGUGCUAAGUGUUAGGGGGUUUCCGCCCCUUAGUGCUGCAGCUAACGCAUUAAGCACUCCGCCUGGGAGAAGACGU
RNAcentral lists this ribosomal RNA (547 nucleotides) under Lysinibacillus sphaericus. Its description in RNAcentral is "bacterial SSU rRNA". It matches the Rfam family "Bacterial small subunit ribosomal RNA", at positions 348 to 885 of the family's 1533-position model. Lineage: Bacteria; Bacillati; Bacillota; Bacilli; Caryophanales; Bacillaceae. The record is from RNAcentral.